CUGUCAGCUGUGGAGGUGUUCCUCUGUCAGGUAUGGAGGUGUUCCUCUGUCAGCUGUGGAGGUGUUCCUCUAAUGUCAGGUAUGGAGGUGUUCCUCUAAUGUCAGGUAUGGAGGUGUUCCUCUAAUGUCAGGUAUGGAGGUGUUCCUCUGUCAGGUAUGGAGGUGUUCCUCUAAUGUCAGGUAUGGAGGUGUUCCUCUAAUGUCAGGUAUGGAGGUGUUCCUCUAAUGUCAGGUAUGGAGGUGUUCCUCUGUCAGGUAUGGAGGUGUUCCUCUAAUGUCAGGUAUGGAGGUGUUCCUCUAAUGUCAGGUAUGGAGGUGUUCCUCUAAUGUCAG
Acanthochromis polyacanthus (spiny chromis) is the source of this 333-nucleotide long non-coding RNA. RefSeq lists it as uncharacterized. The transcript is spliced from 3 exons. Lineage: Eukaryota; Metazoa; Chordata; Actinopteri; Pomacentridae. The record is from RefSeq and is a predicted model, not a curated record.